GACUCCGAAAAAAGAAUAAUUGCAAGAGUUGAGAAGAAAGUAAUUGAAAAAGUAAAAAGAAUUCUGGAGAGGGCAGGAAUUAAUGUGAAAGGAGUCGAUUGGUCUGAGAUACAAGACAACGAGUUCGAGUUUAGAUCUCGUUUUUCGGAUGAGAAUGUAGACCUUCCACAGAACGAGCAAGGACAUAAAUCUGUGCAAGAAUCUGACAAUGAUCAAGAGGAUAUAGAAAUUGCAUAGAACGAGCAAGGACAUCAUCAAUCUGUGAAAAAAUCUGAUAAUGAUCAAGAGGAUGUAGAAAUUGCACAGAACGAGCAAGGACAUCAUCAAUCUGUGCAAAAAUCUGAUAAUGAUCAAGAGGAUGUAGAAUUUGCACAACACGAACAAGGAACUGAUGAUGAAGAAGAUGAUAGUGAUGCGAUUCCCCCUACUCCUAGAGCAGUAUCUAAUACUAUUUUGGGUUCGACUGAUGAUGAUGAUGGAGGGAUACCUGCUCAGGAAAAGGAGAAUGUCGAGGUCCCUGCUGCUCCCAAGG
This is a long non-coding RNA of Tarenaya hassleriana, 532 nucleotides long. RefSeq lists it as uncharacterized. The transcript is spliced from 5 exons. The record is from RefSeq and is a predicted model, not a curated record. NCBI's taxonomy places the organism in Eukaryota, Viridiplantae, Streptophyta, Magnoliopsida, Brassicales, Cleomaceae.